CAGCAACUGAUAAAAAGGCAAAGAAAUUCUGCAUCAGUUUAUCUAACUGGCCAGUUUCUUGAUGCCAUCAGAAAAAUUAGAGGUCCUGAGGCAACUGCACGAUGCAUCCGCAACACGUUAAAGAAUUCGAGCAUGGGAAUAUCAAAUAUGAUAGGUCCUGUGGAACAAAUGGCUAUAGCUAAUCAACCAGUUAAAGGAUUGUACUUUGCUGUGGUAGGGGCACCUCAGGUACUUUAUACUACCAUUUCAAGAAAUUUGUAUACAUCAGCUAGCUUAUAAUUUUAAACAGGGGUAUUAUCAAGCUAAAGGUCAAACAUAAUCUGUUAACUAUAUAUUAUAAUUUACGAUAUCAAAUGAAAAAUGGCAUCAACAGCUAAAUAUUAAUUCUCCCUUCCGAAAAUUUAUAAAUCAUUUUGAAAAUUGGUGAAACUUCAUUUUCAACUACAUAUUUCAAUGGAUCCACAAGUAUUAUCCACUUGUGCGCCACUCAUUUCUAUUUCUUUAUAAAUUAAAUUGUUGAUGAAUUGUUCCCAGACAUUAAUGAAACAAA
Molecule: long non-coding RNA, 550 nt
Organism: Olea europaea var. sylvestris
Lineage: Eukaryota; Viridiplantae; Streptophyta; Magnoliopsida; Lamiales; Oleaceae
Exons: 2
Source: RefSeq, a predicted model, not a curated record